Molecule: ribosomal RNA, 427 nt
Filed under: uncultured bacterium
Lineage: Bacteria
Description: partial 16S ribosomal RNA
Rfam family: Bacterial small subunit ribosomal RNA
Source: RNAcentral
UGGGGAAUAUUGCACAAUGGGCGAAAGCCUGAUGCAGCCAUGCCGCGUGUAUGAAGAAGGCCUUCGGGUUGUAAAGUACUUUCAGCGAGGAGGAAGGCAUAAAGGUUAAUAACCUUUGUGAUUGACGUUACUCGCAGAAGAAGCACCGGCUAACUCCGUGCCAGCAGCCGCGGUAAUACGGGGGGUGCAAGCGUUAAGCGGAAUUACUGGGCGUAAAGCGCACGCAGGCGGUUUGUCAAGUCGGAUGUGAAAUCCCCGGGCUCAACCUGGGAACUGCAUUCGAAACGGGCAAACUAGAGUCUUGUAGAGGGGGGUAGAAUUCCAGGUGUAGCGGUGAAAUGCGUAGAGAUCUGGAGGAAUACCGGUGGCGAAGGCGGCCCCCUGGACAAAGACUGACGCUCAGGUGCGAAAGCGUGGGGAGCAAACA